AAGGACUUGUUCAGUUAUCACUGUUUAGUUAUCACUGGUUUUAUUGUAUCUAGGCAGCACAAUAAAAUUAAUUCAACACACACACACACACACACGUAUAUCCUUACAUAUGGCCAUUUGUGGUGCACAGCUCAGGAGACACUAUUAACAUAGAAUCUAAUAUAAAUGACAUUCCCUUUACUGCUUCAGGAAAACUGACACUUUAUGUGGGAAUAGUGCUUCCUGGCAUUGUGUAGUCAGCAUGAGACCCUGUUAAAUUUGAUACUUUCCACAUUUUCACAUUUUCGUAUAACUUUGCAUCUUGUCAAAGAGGUAGGAAAGUAUUGUUAUUCCCAUUUUAUAGAUGCAUGAACUAAGACUCAGAAUGACUUCAGUUUCCUCAGUCUGCUUUAUUUUCUAUAAAAUGAUGAUACCAGACUCAGCAAUCAACAGUGUUGAGGGACACAGGGUUUGGUGUCAGAUAGAUCUAGAACUCAACCUCAGUUUUGCCUCCUACUAGCUGUAAAAGCUUAAGGAAGUUAUUUAAUCCCUUUCCUUCGUUUCCCAUCCCUAAAAAUAAUGCUGUUACAUGAAAUUUUAUGAAGACUUAAAUGAGUUAAUAUACUUAAAACACCUCAAAGCUUUAUGCUGUAAGUGCUCAAUUAAUGAUAGUUGCAUUAAUAAUCAGUAAUAAAGGUUAUAUAUUAUUUUGUGAGUCGUAUACUACUUUUCAGAGAUUAUGAGGUCAGUUAACACUUGAUAGAAAGUGACGGACCUAACCUAGAAGCAAUAUCCGUUUUAAGUAGAGGCCAAACUUGGACUGAUAACCUCAUGCUCUCUUACCAAUAUUGUAGGCAGUGAGUGAGGAGUUAACAAUAACAACAAAAGGCCUAGGAAAAGCAAGGAGAAUGUGUCCUAUAUAGUCAGGGACAGACUUUGGAGUCACACUAGACCCACCAUAGUUGUGUGUAAAAUAAAGCAGAUUUGAAUCAUCUAGUCACACAAAAAAGAAACGAGAAGUUACUGCAGUGAGAGAGCAAAGCAGUUCCAGAUGGUGGAAUGCUUUUACUGUGUGUGUUGGUCUCUGAGGUGCUCGUGACAUACCAUUAUCAUACUGUUCCUCAUAAUGACCCUCAGCCACUAAGAAAUGGUUGAGUUAUGCGGGAUAAUUUGCUAAGACUGUAGAACUAAUACACUAUAUAAAGACUUUCAUUACUUU
RNAcentral lists this long non-coding RNA (1198 nucleotides) under Homo sapiens (human). Its description in RNAcentral is "HSALNT0346730". The record is from RNAcentral. Lineage: Eukaryota; Metazoa; Chordata; Mammalia; Primates; Hominidae.